GUGUCAGCCGCCGCGGUAAUACAGAGGGUGCAAGCGUUAAUCGGAUUUACUGGGCGUAAAGCGUGAGUAGGUGGCUCGCUAAGUCGAUUGUGAAAGCCCUGGGCUCAACCUGGGAAUUGCAGUCGAUACUGGAGAGCUAGAGUUCGGUAGAGGGUGACGGAAUUCCCGGUGUAGCGGUGAAAUGCGUAGAUAUCGGGAGGAACAUCGAUGGCGAAGGCAAUCACCUGGGCCUGAACUGACACUGAGACACGAAAGCGUGGGUAGCAAACAGGAUUAGAUACCCGUGUAGUCC
RNAcentral lists this ribosomal RNA (292 nucleotides) under uncultured bacterium. Its description in RNAcentral is "partial 16S ribosomal RNA". It matches the Rfam family "Bacterial small subunit ribosomal RNA", at positions 505 to 796 of the family's 1533-position model. The record is from RNAcentral.